This 401-nucleotide ribosomal RNA is filed under the name uncultured bacterium. RNAcentral describes it as "bacterial SSU rRNA". It matches the Rfam family "Bacterial small subunit ribosomal RNA", at positions 32 to 409 of the family's 1533-position model. The record is from RNAcentral.
AAUCAACGCUGGCGGCGUGCCUCAGACAUGCAAGUCGAACGCGAAAGUCCCCUUCGGGGGGACAAGUAGAGUGGCGCACGGGUGAGUAACACGUAGGUAAUCUACCUUCGGAUGGGGAAGUAACAACCGGAAACGGUUGCUAAUACCGCAUAAUGCAGCGGCACCUAGUGGUGACAGUUGUUAAAGCGGGGGAGUCGAAAGACCUCGCGUCUGAAGAGGAGCCUGCGGCGGAUUAGCUAGNGGUAAGGUAAUGGCUUACCAAGGCGACGAUCCGUAGCCGGCCUGAGAGGGGCGGUCGGCCACACUGACACUGACAUACGGGUCAGACUCCUACGGGAGGCAGCAGUCGGGAAUUUUGGGCAAUGGGCGAAAGCCUGACCCAGCAACGCCGCGUGAAGGAU